This 167-nucleotide ribosomal RNA is filed under the name uncultured bacterium. Its description in RNAcentral is "partial 16S ribosomal RNA". It matches the Rfam family "Bacterial small subunit ribosomal RNA", at positions 1334 to 1500 of the family's 1533-position model. The record is from RNAcentral.
GCUAGUAAUCGUAGGUCAGCAUACUACGGUGAAUACGUUCCCGGGCCUUGUACACACCGCCCGUCAAGCCAUGAGAGUUGGCAACACCCGAAGUCGGUAGUCUAACCGCAGGGAGGACGCCGCCGAAGGUGGGGUUGAUGAUUAGGGUUAAGUCGUAACAAGGUACC